GACGAACGCUGGCGGCGUGCUUAACACAUGCAAGUCGAGCGGUAAGGCCCCUUCGGGGGUACACGAGCGGCGAACGGGUGAGUAACACGUGGGUGACCUGCCCUCAGCUCUGGGAUAAGCCUGGGAAACUGGGUCUAAUACCGGAUAUGACUCCAUGAUGCAUGUUGUGGGGUGGAAAGCCUUGUGCGGCUGAGGAUGGGCCCGCGGCCUAUCAGCUUGUUGGUGGGGUGAUGGCCUACCAAGGCGACGACGGGUAGCCGGCCUGAGAGGGCGACCGGCCACACUGGGACUGAGACACGGCCCAGACUCCUACGGGAGGCAGCAGUGGGGAAUCUUGCGCAAUGGGCGAAAGCCUGACGCAGCGACGCCGCGUGAGGGAUGACGGCCUCGG
Molecule: ribosomal RNA, 391 nt
Filed under: uncultured bacterium
Lineage: Bacteria
Description: bacterial SSU rRNA
Rfam family: Bacterial small subunit ribosomal RNA
Source: RNAcentral